RNAcentral lists this ribosomal RNA (727 nucleotides) under Micrococcus sp. YNLB28-69-270505. RNAcentral's name for it is "bacterial SSU rRNA". It matches the Rfam family "Bacterial small subunit ribosomal RNA", at positions 373 to 1110 of the family's 1533-position model. The record is from RNAcentral. Lineage: Bacteria; Bacillati; Actinomycetota; Actinomycetes; Micrococcales; Micrococcaceae.
GGGCGAAAGCCUGAUGCAGCGACGCCGCGUGAGGGAUGACGGCCUUCGGGUUGUAAACCUCUUUCAGUAGGGAAGAAGCGAAAGUGACGGUACCUGCAGAAGAAGCACCGGCUAACUACGUGCCAGCAGCCGCGGUAAUACGUAGGGUGCGAGCGUUAUCCGGAAUUAUUGGGCGUAAAGAGCUCGUAGGCGGUUUGUCGCGUCUGUCGUGAAAGUCCGGGGCUUAACCCCGGAUCUGCGGUGGGUACGGGCAGACUAGAGUGCAGUAGGGGAGACUGGAAUUCCUGGUGUAGCGGUGGAAUGCGCAGAUAUCAGGAGGAACACCGAUGGCGAAGGCAGGUCUCUGGGCUGUAACUGACGCUGAGGAGCGAAAGCAUGGGGAGCGAACAGGAUUAGAUACCCUGGUAGUCCAUGCCGUAAACGUUGGGCACUAGGUGUGGGGACCAUUCCACGGUUUCCGCGCCGCAGCUAACGCAUUAAGUGCCCCGCCUGGGGAGUACGGCCGCAAGGCUAAAACUCAAAGGAAUUGACGGGGGCCCGCACAAGCGGCGGAGCAUGCGGAUUAAUUCGAUGCAACGCGAAGAACCUUACCAAGGCUUGACAUGUUCUCGAUCGCCGUAGAGAUACGGUUUCCCCUUUGGGGUGGGUUCACAGGUGGUGCAUGGUUGUCGUCAGCUCGUGUCGUGAGAUGUUGGGUUAAGUCCCGCAACGAGCGCAACCCUCGUUC